Molecule: long non-coding RNA, 479 nt
Organism: Symphalangus syndactylus (siamang)
Lineage: Eukaryota; Metazoa; Chordata; Mammalia; Primates; Hylobatidae
Source: RefSeq, a predicted model, not a curated record
CAGUGGCCAUCUGGGAGGCAAUGCUAUGGCAAGGCCACAUGGUGAGGGACUGGGCCUCAGGAGUGCCCACGCCGUCAGGCCCUGGGACAAGAGCACAGCCCCAGUCACUGUGUGAGCUGCCUGGAGCCGGAGGAGCCACAGGAGCUACACCUGCUCCUGCCCGCAGAAACUCAGGUUUGUGAAGCUGCAGAGCUUGGGCUAAAAACCUGGGAUUGAUGUGGGGAUCGUGCAUCAUUUUUCCAUGGGUCGAAGGGAACAAGUUAAAAGGAAGAUGCAAGCCAUCAGAAUGAACAAGCCAACAAGAGGACAGAGACUCCAGAAACCUGGGGAACUACAGAUUCUCGGGUCCAGCCUGGGGGUAGCCUAAAAGGAAAAUCACACAGAACUUACCUAAGAAAGUCCAGGUGAGUGGUGAAAACUCCUGCUCCCAUGAUUAAGUAGAAACUAGGAGAAAACAUUAAUAACACAAGUGACUGGCA